This 24-nucleotide non-coding RNA is filed under the name Callithrix jacchus (white-tufted-ear marmoset). RNAcentral also lists the same sequence under 2 other names. Lineage: Eukaryota; Metazoa; Chordata; Mammalia; Primates; Cebidae. The record is from RNAcentral.
UUAAUAUCUGAUACGUCCUCUAUC